UGGGGAAUAUUGCACAAUGGAGGGAACUCUGAUGCAGCGACGCCGCGUGAACGAAGAAGGCUUUCGAGUCGUAAAGUUCUUUUAUAUGGGAAGAUAAUGACGGUACCAUAAGAAAAAGCCCCGGCUAACUACGUGCCAGCAGCCGCGGUAAUACGUAGGGGGCUAGCGUUGUCCGGAAUCACUGGGCGUAAAGGGUUCGCAGGCGGAAAUGCAAGUCAGGUGUAAAAGGCAGUAGCUUAACUACUGUAAGCAUUUGAAACUGCAUAUCUUGAGAAGAGUAGAGGUAAGUGGAAUUUUUAGUGUAGCGGUGAAAUGCUUAGAUAUUAAAAAGAAUACCGGUGGCGAAGGCGGCUUACUGGGCUCAUUCUGACGCUGAGGAACGAAAGCGUGGGUAGCAAACAGG
Molecule: ribosomal RNA, 403 nt
Filed under: bacterium
Lineage: Bacteria
Description: partial 16S ribosomal RNA
Rfam family: Bacterial small subunit ribosomal RNA
Source: RNAcentral